UUGAACGCUGGCGGCAUGCCUUACACAUGCAAGUCGAACGGCAGCACGGGAGCAAUCCUGGUGGCGAGUGGCGAACGGGUGAGUAAUAUAUCGGAACGUGCCCGGUCGUGGGGGAUAACGUAGCGAAAGCUACGCUAAUACCGCAUACGAUCUACGGAUGAAAGCGGGGAUCGCAAGACCUCGCGCGAUUGGAGCGGCCGAUAUCAGAUUAGGUAGUUGGUGAGGUAAAGGCUCACCAAGCCGACGAUCUGUAGCUGGUCUGAGAGGACGACCAGCCACACUGGGACUGAGACACGGCCCAGACUCCUACGGGAGGCAGCAGUGGGGAAUUUUGGACAAUGGGCGCAAGCCUGAUCCAGCAAUGCCGCGUGCAGGAUGAAGGCCUUCGGGUUGUAAACUGCUUUGUACGGAACGAAACGGUGAGCUCUAAUACAGUUUGCUAAUGACGGUACCGUAAGAAUAAGCACCGGCUAACUACGUG
This 481-nucleotide ribosomal RNA is filed under the name uncultured bacterium. RNAcentral describes it as "bacterial SSU rRNA". It matches the Rfam family "Bacterial small subunit ribosomal RNA", at positions 30 to 507 of the family's 1533-position model. The record is from RNAcentral.